This 70-nucleotide transfer RNA is filed under the name Dipodomys ordii (Ord's kangaroo rat). It matches the Rfam family "tRNA". From Rfam's summary of the family: Transfer RNA (tRNA) molecules are approximately 80 nucleotides in length. Their secondary structure includes four short double-helical elements and three loops (D, anti-codon, and T loops). Further hydrogen bonds mediate the characteristic L-shaped molecular structure. tRNAs have two regions of fundamental functional importance: the anti-codon, which is responsible for specific mRNA codon recognition, and the 3' end, to which the tRNAs corresponding amino acid is attached (by aminoacyl-tRNA synthetases). tRNAs cope with the degeneracy of the genetic code in two manners: having more than one tRNA (with a specific anti-codon) for a particular amino acid; and 'wobble' base-pairing, i.e. permitting non-standard base-pairing at the 3rd anti-codon position. The record is from Rfam by way of RNAcentral. Lineage: Eukaryota; Metazoa; Chordata; Mammalia; Rodentia; Heteromyidae.
GGGACAGUAGCUCAGUGGUAGAGUGCUUGCCUUGCAUGCAUGAGGUCGUGGGUUCGAAUCCUCAGUACUA